UGGAGCCUGCGGUUUAAUUGGACUCAACGCCGGGCAGCUCACCGGAUAAGACAGCUGGAUGAUAGCCGGGCUGAAGACUCUGCUUGACUAGCUGAGAGGAGGUGCAUGGCCGUCGUCAGUUCGUACUGUGAAGCAUCCUGUUAAGUCAGGCAACGAGCGAGACCCACGCCAACAGUUGCCAGCUCGUCCUCCGGGAUGGUGGGGACACUGUUGGGACCGCCUCUGCUAAAGAGGAGGAAGGAAUGGGCAACGGUAGGUCAGCAUGCCCCGAAUUAUCUGGGCUACACGCGGGCUACAAUGGGUGGGACAAUGGGUAUCGACACCGAAAGGUGAAGGCAAUCUCCUAAACCCAUCCGUAGUUCGGAUUGUGGGCUGCAACUCGCCCACAUGAAGCUGGAAUCUGUAGUAAUCGUGUCUCAAAAUGGCACGGUGAAUAUGUCCCUGCUCCUU
RNAcentral lists this ribosomal RNA (450 nucleotides) under uncultured Methanomicrobiales archaeon. RNAcentral's name for it is "bacterial SSU rRNA". It matches the Rfam family "Archaeal small subunit ribosomal RNA", at positions 889 to 1338 of the family's 1478-position model. The record is from RNAcentral. Lineage: Archaea; Methanobacteriati; Methanobacteriota; Methanomicrobia; Methanomicrobiales.